GUGAGACUCUCACUGAAGGUGUAUUCAACCACCUCUGUUCCAAUGAUGGUCCAACAGGAUCCAUCAUUCAAUAACACCUUAUUACUUUCCUUGGGACACGGAGAAGCCUACAAGUUUGGAAUUACAUGAGGGCAGAGGUACAUGUGGUUGCUGUCUCUGAACUGGAAAGCACAUUUAUGAAGCUGAGAUACGGGCUCAUCCACGUCUAGACAUGCAUGCUGCUUGUUCACCUUACGUAUUACCUACAAAGAGAGAAAACCACAUCCGGAUGGUGAGGAAUUCAACGUCACUUGAAUGCUGCUCUCAGAUGUCAAGCGCCUCUUUCUUCCCCGUAGAACCUCUCUGUGGAUCCAAUAGUCAAUGUCAACAGCAGAUGCCCUCUUAGUGUGUGCUUUAGGAUCAAAAGGUUAGAGGUCAAAUGUCUGACUUCUGUGGCAAUGGCUGCCGGGUGACACUAUUUAGCGGCUUGACCCCACUUUUCAUACACAAAGACACGGUAACAUAAACUUACAGGGGUUUGGUUUCUACACCGGUUGACCCUUUUACAUAACGGCCCUUAGUCAGGGUAGACGUCAUGUUUGAUUUGAUCCAAAUGAGGGAUAGAUGAACAGUCCAUUCAAUAGGUUGUACUGUUUUGUACCAUGGGUGUCAACUGUUUAGCUAACAAAACUAAAAAAAUAAUAAUAAUUUGGAAAAAAAAAACAUGGGAAACUGUGGGCUGUGAAAAUUAGUCAUGACCUAUAACCCUAGAACUCAAACCCUCGAUUUCACAGACAGGUCUUAAGCCUAGUCCCAGACUAAAAUGCAUGUUUGAGCUGUUUUAACUGAAAGCAACUUGCACUGGCAUAUUUUAAAAUAUGUCAGUGCCAUUGUUUUAUCUCAAGAAGCACAUCAGUAAUGUUUUUUUCUAAGGCACAUUUAAAAAACCCACUUAAAUGCCUAAUCCUGGCUUCUGAGCCCUGUCUGUGAAAAAAAAAAAAAUGGGCAUAAAACGGAAUUACAAUGCACUGAAUGUCUAUCGCUUGCAUCAUAUUAAAGGGGUGGUUGAUUAUGAUUUCACUUUUUUAACUUUAGUUUGUGUGUAAUGUUGCUGUUUGAGCAUAAACAACAUCUGCAAAGUUACGACGCUCAAAGUUCAAUGCAAAGGGAGAUAUUUUCUUUUAAAUAAUUAUCUGUUUAAGGACUACAACAAACGGCUGGUAGGGACUACAACGAGCUUCUUCCUGGGUUGGUGACAUCACUAACCCUAAAAUUUACAUAAACCCUGCCCCCGAGAACACACAACAAAGGGGGUGAGGCCAUGUUGGGCUGCUUUAGAGAAGAGGAAGAGUUGUUGUAGGAGAGUGUUUUUGCCAUGACCUUAUUUUACGCCAGACUGCUUCACAAACGAGGGUCAAUUCAACGCUGGAUUUGCACAAAAGAUUAACAUGAUGGCAUAUGCUAGUCGAUGAGUUGAAUCAACUCCACAGCAACUACAUAAAUUUAUCCACUAACCAUUCAGAAACGUCCAGUUUCAUUCUAAAAGUUGUAACUUCUUCCUGAGUCUCUCCAUCAGUGUUCGACUCUGGUUUGAACAAUGUAAGGCUGAACACCGUUACUGACAAUCCUCAUUUUGGCUGCGUGAGAUUCUCCAGCUUUGUUGUUGUUGAGCAACCGAAGCACGAGCUGUUAAAGCUCCGACUUCUUUUGGAAAGUGGGCCGGGAGCAGCAGCUCAUUUGCAUUUAAAAGGACACACACACAAACGUGUUUUUGUUCACACCCAAAUAGGGGCAAAUUUGACGAGCUAUAAUAAAUGAUCUGUGGGGUAUUUUGAGCUGAAACUUCACAUGCACAUCCUGGGGACACCAAAGACUUAUAUUACAUCUUGUGAAAGGGCCAUUAUAGGUCCCCUUUAAAUAUAGAUUUUUUGAAUUGCACACAAAUACACA
Molecule: long non-coding RNA, 1929 nt
Organism: Ctenopharyngodon idella (grass carp)
Lineage: Eukaryota; Metazoa; Chordata; Actinopteri; Cypriniformes; Xenocyprididae
Exons: 3
Source: RefSeq, a predicted model, not a curated record